UUAGCCCCUAUUUGUAUGGAAUGGGAUCGUUUGCGUACGUUUGCCGCUAGGGGCGCUGUUCCAACUGCAUACAAAAUUGGGUUA
This 84-nucleotide microRNA precursor is filed under the name Bombyx mori (domestic silkworm). Its description in RNAcentral is "mir-2807 microRNA precursor family". It matches the Rfam family "mir-2807 microRNA precursor family". The record is from Rfam by way of RNAcentral. Lineage: Eukaryota; Metazoa; Arthropoda; Insecta; Lepidoptera; Bombycidae.